UACAGAGGGUGCGAGCGUUAAUCGGAAUUACUGGGCGUAAAGCGUGCGUAGACGGUUAUUUAAGUCGGAUGUGAAAGCCCCGGGCUCAACCUGGGAAUUGCAUUCGAGACUGAAUAGCUAGGGUGCGGUAGAGGGAAGCGGAAUUUCCGGUGUAGCGGUGAAAUGCGUAGAUAUGCGGAGGAACACCGAUGGCGAAGGCAAUCCCCUGGGCCUGCACUGACGCUCAUGCACGAAAGCGUGGGGAGCAAACAGG
RNAcentral lists this ribosomal RNA (253 nucleotides) under uncultured bacterium. RNAcentral describes it as "partial 16S ribosomal RNA". It matches the Rfam family "Bacterial small subunit ribosomal RNA", at positions 524 to 776 of the family's 1533-position model. The record is from RNAcentral.